GUGUAAGAUCUUAUGUAUCUAAAAUUUUUAAGGAAAGAUUUUGUUGUAUAAGUGGUGGGAUACAUUCUAUAAUCAAAUUAUUACAAAUUUAGAAUAUCAAAGAAAAAAGCAGACUUUGACUAUAAAUGAUAUGUAGUCCCGCCAAAGUCAAACUUUACACAAAUGUUUUCCACCAACCACACAACACAAUUAAUAUAAAAGCCGAACUUCGCUUUCAUCACAGAAAGACACACUACUUUUUGAGUCUUACAUCACUCAGUCAUGGGGAAUAUCUUCAGCUACUUCACCACAGGAUGGGGAAGCAAUGUUCCUCCAGCGACGGAAACAACUACUGUUCAACCACGAUCACAUUCAGCGACGAAAACAAAAACAACUACUGUUCAACCACGCUCACAUUCACAGAGUGUAGUUAAUCAAUCUGUAUCCUCAGCCUCGAGGUCGUAUUAUUCGGCCCAUUCUUCGCCCAGAACAGAGUCGUAUCGUGGCGGAGGAAGGUGAGAUUAAGCCAAGUGUGAUGAAGCAGUUGCUAUUGGUGAAUGGGACCAGUUAUAAGUUGUAGGACAUUUAAUAAUAUCCAAACUUUAUGACAUGUAAUGUAAUAUUAUGCAACUUUGUGAUCAUACUCUUAACUUUUAUUUUAUACAAUCCUUCUUCGAUAUAUAUGUGUCCUCUCUUAAAGUGCAUUGCUUCUUAUUUUCUAGUAGACAUAAAACAGCGAAGAAGAUAAGACAAAAGCAAAUGUUACAUUCAUCAUCUCAGGCCGCUUAAACACCAAUAUUGAAAACUAACUUUGACAUGUUACUAGUUACGACCACCUAUUUAGUAGCAAAAAUGAUAAAAUACAUGGCUGUAAAUAAAGAUAUAUACAUGAAAGUACAUGGCUGUAAAUACAUGGCUCUAAGAGCACCUCCAUUGGAGGCUUUUAGAGAGGGUUCUAAAAAAAAAAUCAAUAAAAAUAAAUGAAAAAGAAAAUAAAACCAAAGAACCGGUGCCAAACUAAGGGGUUUUGGAAUCACUACACACCCCAUACGUGCUCUGUUCUUAUUGGCCGCCUCUCUUUCUUCUUUGAUGGUUUUUUUUUGUGUCUGAGAAAUCUAAUGUUGUUGCUCUCCUUCUCCAAAUCCGUUCAUUGAAAUCACCUUGUAGAGAUAGCUUCUCACAUGAAAGUAAUUGGGCGUGAUUAAGUUUCCAGAUGGAUUACCUCCUACUACGUCGACAAGGAAAAAGGAGAAUCUUUCAGAGAUGGAGCAGCAACUGAAGAAGACAGAAGCUGCUCAAAGGCGAAAAGUUCAGAUUGAGAAGGCUGCAAGAGAGUCCGAGGCAGAGGCCAUUAGAAAAAUUCUAGGACAGGAUUCGAGCAGGAAGAAGCGUGAAGACAAAAUUAAAAAACGGCUUGAUGAAUUGGCUCAGGUACACAGAGAAGCCCACCUUAUUUUUGAUACGUUAUUUCUGAGUAAAAACUGAGAUGCUGACAAUUUGUGUCAUAUGCAGUGGCGGAUCCAGAAAAUAAAUAUUGUGGGGGCAAAAAUAUACCAUACACUUCAUUAAAAAAAUUAAUGUUUU
This is a long non-coding RNA of Brassica napus (rape), 1563 nucleotides long. RefSeq lists it as uncharacterized. NCBI's taxonomy places the organism in Eukaryota, Viridiplantae, Streptophyta, Magnoliopsida, Brassicales, Brassicaceae. The transcript is spliced from 4 exons. The record is from RefSeq and is a predicted model, not a curated record.